Cyprinus carpio (common carp) is the source of this 165-nucleotide long non-coding RNA. RefSeq lists it as uncharacterized. The record is from RefSeq and is a predicted model, not a curated record. Lineage: Eukaryota; Metazoa; Chordata; Actinopteri; Cypriniformes; Cyprinidae. The transcript has 2 exons.
CAACAGUGUUACCUUUAACGCAACCAGGCCAGCCAGCGACUCACGGUCUCGUCCGGUGCAGAUCAUUUAUUUCUAAUCUAAGGAUAUGGAGUAUAAAGUGUACUUAAAUGAAGAGGCACCUGUUCCCGCAGCUACAAAAAGGCGAUGGACACAGAAUAUAAUAGG